This is a non-coding RNA of Phoenix dactylifera (date palm), 565 nucleotides long. NCBI's taxonomy places the organism in Eukaryota, Viridiplantae, Streptophyta, Magnoliopsida, Arecales, Arecaceae. The record is from RefSeq and is a predicted model, not a curated record.
CGAGAGAACAGAAAAAAUGUCCUCCAGACUUGCACACUAGGGUUUCGACGGCGAUCAAUAAAAUAAGAGGGUUUGACGGGAGGGACCUUGCAAGCAAUACCACUCACCCCACAUCAUCCCUCGAUCUCGCUCUCUGACCCCUCGGAGCUCCAUCCCUUAUCCAUGGCAAUCCCCGGCCCCUACUCCGGCGUCAGCUCCCUCGCCUUCGUAGCUCGUGCAUCGGCGUUCACCUUCGGUCUCGUCUACGGGAGCAUUAAGCUCUCCUACCUCCAGGCAAAGGCAAAAUAUGAUAAAAAAGCUGAGGCAAAAGGACAUCAUUGAACAGGAAAUGCAUAUCUUUGUUUCUUGUUUCACAAUGACCGGAUUUGAGUGUUUAUUUCAAUUGUUGCAGCACAUGAUUUACUUGUGAUUCUUAUCUUUCCCAAGAAAACUGCGAGGAUGGUUGACAUUUAUUCUGAUAAAAGAGGGGUUCAUCUCCUAGCAUAUGUGAACUUGAAAAAAAAUUAGAAAUGACAAUUCAAGUAUCUCAAUCAUGAAACCAAUAAUGGUAGUUCCUUUCUUACCA